GUCUUACGAUGAUAGCCAGCUUCGGUGGUGGAUUAGUGGCGAACGGGUGAGUAACACGUGGGCAAUCUGCCCUGCGCUCUGGGACAAGCCCUGGAAACGGGGUCUAAUACCGGAUAUGAUCAUCGGCCGCAUGGUCUGGUGGUGGAAAGCUCCGGCGGUGCAGGAUGAGCCCGCGGCCUAUCAGCUUGUUGGUGGGGUGAUGGCCUACCAAGGCGACGACGGGUAGCCGGCCUGAGAGGGCGACCGGCCACACUGGGACUGAGACACGGCCCAGACUCCUACGGGAGGCAGCAGUGGGGAAUAUUGCACAAUGGGCGCAAGCCUGAUGCAGCGACGCCGCGUGAGGGAUGACGGCCUUCGGGUUGUAAACCUCUUUCAGCAGGGAAGAAGCUUUCGGGUGACGGUACCUGCGGAAAAAACACCGGCUAACUACGUGCCACCAGCCGCGGUAAUACGUAGGGUGCGAGCGUUGUCCGGAAUUAUUGGGCGUAAAGAGCUCGUAGGCGGCGUGUCACGUCGGAUGUGAAAGCCCGGGGCUUUACCCUGGGUCUGCAUUCUAUACGGGCAGGCUAUAGUUCGGUAGGGGAGAUCGGAAUUCCUGGUGUAGCGGUGAAAUGCGCACAUAUCACGAGGAACACCGGUGGCGAAGGCGGAUCUCUGGGCCGAUACUGACGCUGAGGAGCGAAAGCGUGUGGAGCGAACAGGAUUAGAUACCCUGUGAGUCCACGCCGUAAACGUUGUGAACUAUGUGUGUGUCACAUUCCACGUGGUCCGUGCCGCAGCUAUCGCAUUAAGUUCCCCGCCUGGGGAGUACAGCCGCAAGGCUAUAACUCUCAGGAAUUGACAGGGG
This 850-nucleotide ribosomal RNA is filed under the name Streptomyces sp. RNAcentral's name for it is "bacterial SSU rRNA". It matches the Rfam family "Bacterial small subunit ribosomal RNA", at positions 61 to 919 of the family's 1533-position model. Lineage: Bacteria; Bacillati; Actinomycetota; Actinomycetes; Kitasatosporales; Streptomycetaceae. The record is from RNAcentral.